Long non-coding RNA from Mauremys reevesii (Reeves's turtle), 362 nucleotides. RefSeq lists it as uncharacterized. NCBI's taxonomy places the organism in Eukaryota, Metazoa, Chordata, Testudines, Geoemydidae. The transcript has 3 exons. The record is from RefSeq and is a predicted model, not a curated record.
ACCACAUUCUCAGGGAAUCUCACAUCGAGGCUAUCUGAAGUCCAUGGUUUCCCAAACUCCGUCCAUCCCAUAUUCAGAUGCUCUGUGAGAAAGCUGUGGAAUGAUCAGUUCAUAUGAAUAAACUCAGGACACCUCCAAGCCCAGAUAGGUACAGAGGUCAUUAAAGAAAUAAGUGAAAUGGUGUACUGAAUGGACUGUAGCUGCCUUUCAUACGGAAUUGCAAUCAUCAAGAUUCUGGAACAACAUUCUUAGAACAAUAGUUGAUGAUUAACUUUCUGUAUUCUUUUCAUUUGUGUGCACUCUUACCAGUUCAUUUCUGUGAUUUUCAGAGUUUGGUAUAAAGAACUGUGAUCAGAAACAAG